CUUGGUGAUCCUUGCGAGUUGGCUACACCCGUUCCCAUCCCGAACACGGCAGUUAAGCAACUCAGCUCCGAUGGUAGUGCAGCUUAUGCUGUGCAAGAGUAGGUCGUCGCCAAGG
RNAcentral lists this ribosomal RNA (115 nucleotides) under bacterium. The record is from RNAcentral.